AACGAACGCUGGCGGCAUGCCUAACACAUGCAAGUCGAACGAGACCUUCGGGUCUGGUGGCGCACGGGUGCGUAACGCGUGGGAAUCUACCCUUGGGUUCGGAAUAACAGUUAGAAAUGACUGCUAAUACCGGAUGAUGACGUAAGUCCAAAGAUUUAUCGACCAAGGAUGAGCCCGCGUAAGAUUAGCUUGUUGGUGGGGUAAUGGCCUACCAAGGCGACGAUCUUUAGCUGGUCUGAGAGGAUGAUCAGCCACACUGGGACUGAGACACGGCCCAGACUCCUACGGGAGGCAGCAGUGGGGAAUAUUGGACAAUGGGUGAAAGCCUGAUCCAGCAAUGCCGCGUGAGUGAUGAAGGCCUUAGGGUUGUAAAGCUCUUUUACCAGGGAUGAUAAUGACAGUACCUGGAGAAUAAGCUCCGGCUAACUCCGUGCCAGCCGCCGCCGUAA
This 449-nucleotide ribosomal RNA is filed under the name uncultured bacterium. RNAcentral's name for it is "partial 16S ribosomal RNA". It matches the Rfam family "Bacterial small subunit ribosomal RNA", at positions 29 to 523 of the family's 1533-position model. The record is from RNAcentral.